AAAAAGAAGCCUUUCACACUGAUGCAUUGCUAUGUAGAGUUUUCGAAGUAUCCAAAGUGGCAGACAAGAGAAGUUGAAACUUCUCUUAAGAAACAAAAGAAGACCAUUGAUGCAAGUCCGGGCACAGCCACCAAUGAUCCGGUUGAUGCAUCCUCGGUACGUACUGAUGCUACCUCGAUACGCACUGAUGCUCUUGAACAUGAGAAAAAACCUGAUGGUGUGAAGAAGGAUAAGAGAGGUAAAGCUGAUGAUAGUGCUUGCAAGCUGUCAUUAAAAACUGUGUGGGCAGCAAAGCUAGAGAAGGAUGAGAUCAAAGAGGUGGCAAGAAAUGCUCGCUACGCACAACAAUUGGAAUUGCGAAAAGAGGAGAUUGCACUCAAAAAGAAUGAAGAUGCACGAAAUGAGAGGGAGGAUGCACGGAGACAGUUUGAAUUAGAUGAGAGGAUCAUGCUCAUCGACACUAGAGGUAUGACUGAUGUGCAAAAGCAGUUCUACCAAGAUAAGCAGAAGGAGAUCCUUGCUCGCGGCCUAGGGUGA
Molecule: ribosomal RNA, 537 nt
Filed under: Triticum aestivum (bread wheat)
Lineage: Eukaryota; Viridiplantae; Streptophyta; Magnoliopsida; Poales; Poaceae
Description: partial small subunit ribosomal RNA
Source: RNAcentral